CCCCCGAGCCAUGAAUGAGGAGCCCGAGCAGAAGUACCGUCCAGGCCAUGGUGGGAACGCUCCUGGGACGCGGC
Non-coding RNA from Vicugna pacos (alpaca), 74 nucleotides. Lineage: Eukaryota; Metazoa; Chordata; Mammalia; Artiodactyla; Camelidae. The record is from RefSeq and is a predicted model, not a curated record.